Long non-coding RNA from Centruroides sculpturatus (bark scorpion), 876 nucleotides. RefSeq lists it as uncharacterized. The record is from RefSeq and is a predicted model, not a curated record. The transcript is spliced from 3 exons. NCBI's taxonomy places the organism in Eukaryota, Metazoa, Arthropoda, Arachnida, Scorpiones, Buthidae.
UAAUGGGAAAUUUUAAUCGACGGGACGCGCGAUGUUGUUACGAACGAAUAUGCAAAUUUGUAAGUUUUGACGUCGUGUCUGUAGUUUACCGUGGAAUAAUGCAAAUCGGUCGGUAGUCGUUCGAAAUCGACAGUGUAGCGACAAAAGCGUAUAUUGGAAUAAUUGCUAUCUUCGUUUGGAUAAUUACUUUUCGAAAUUGGAUAUUUAUUUGUUUCUUUGCUAAUUCUUUGAAAAUGAGUUUUGCCGAUUUCAGUUCUGAUGAUUUUUGGUCGAGUUGUACCACGCGUAAUUUCUAUACCACGUUUAUGGGGGUAUUUAAAGAAUAAGAAACACCUGCCAAAGCACUACACGAGCGAUCUCUCAGACUCCUACAUGUACUUAUUUAUGUAUAAGAAAUUCAUGAACUGGCCCGUUAAAAAACCCAGAGAGAGAUUCCAAAUUUUUGCACAACAUUUAGCUAUGAUCUAUCCUGGAACCGGAGAAAAACCGAAAUGGUUCGAACCGGAAACUGUUCCGUCGGCGCCGGCGACGAAUACGGGGAAGAAGAAAAGGCCCGCAACGAACGCCAACGAAUCUACAAUGUCGAAAAAUUCGGGAUCGAAAAGGAGAAAAAAGAACCAUUGACGCUCUUUUAGUCUUGUGGAAAGAGGACCCUUUUCCUCAUACCUAUCGUGAAUCAGUCAGGCUCAGAAUGGGACGAGCAGUUGGCGAGAAACAAGACCGACCGCCCAUGAAAAUUUCUUGGAUGGUCGUCCAGAUUCGAUCCAGGAACCCUAGAACAGUAGGCUGACGUCUUAGCCGCGUUUUGACUUGUAUGAUUUUAAUUCUUGUUCAAAGUUGCCAAUUCGAUUUUUAUAAAAGAAAAUCUAAAGACAU